RNAcentral lists this ribosomal RNA (590 nucleotides) under Scaeochlamys squamata. Its description in RNAcentral is "partial 16S ribosomal RNA". It matches the Rfam family "Bacterial large subunit ribosomal RNA", at positions 1825 to 2597 of the family's 2925-position model. Lineage: Eukaryota; Metazoa; Mollusca; Bivalvia; Pectinida; Pectinidae. The record is from RNAcentral.
GGCUUUCUGAAGAACAUGGGGGGUCGUACCUUCCCAGUGGGCAUACGAGCCUAAACGGACGCGGUAAAUCGUGCUAAGGUAGCUAAAUUAUGGCCUAUUAAUUGUAGGUCCUGUGAAUGGUUUGACGAGUCCUCGACUGUCUCGAAGUUGUUUUGGUGAACUUGAAUUGAACGUGCAAAUGCUUUCAUGGGGAAGAAAGACGAGAAGACCCCGUGAAGUUAGAAAUUCCUACUACAACGUUAAUCCGCUAUGGUGUUUAUAGACCAGGCGUUCUAGGGUCUUAGGUUUAGCGUGUCUUAGGUUGGGCAUAUUAAAUACAUUAGGCUCUUAAGUGGGGGAGUGUAGCUUCGAUGAGUUUUGGCUGGGGCAGCAAAGAGGCAAAGCUAGACCUUUUUAGUCACACGACGGGUGCGUUACGACCCACAUAAGUGAAUAGUGUGAUUAGCAGAAUGAGUUACUCCGGGGAUAACAGCGUAAUCUUCCUUGAUAGUUCUUAUAGAUGGGUAGGUUUGCGACCUCGAUGUUGGCUCUGGGUAUCCUGAGGCUUGCAGGUGGUCUCAAGGGUUGGUUCGUUCGCCCAUUAAAACCCG